CACCGCCCUUUCACGGCGGCAACCGGGGUUCGAAUCCCCGUGGGGUCA
RNAcentral lists this transfer RNA (48 nucleotides) under Planctomycetaceae bacterium. RNAcentral's name for it is "tRNA-Ser". It matches the Rfam family "tRNA", at positions 24 to 71 of the family's 71-position model. From Rfam's summary of the family: Transfer RNA (tRNA) molecules are approximately 80 nucleotides in length. Their secondary structure includes four short double-helical elements and three loops (D, anti-codon, and T loops). Lineage: Bacteria; Pseudomonadati; Planctomycetota; Planctomycetia; Planctomycetales; Planctomycetaceae. The record is from RNAcentral.